GACUUUCUGGACUUAUGCCAUGAUAAAGAAAAUUACUUUCUCUUUUUAUUGUUCUUGCUUAUGAGGUUGCUGCCAAUACCAUAAUAGCACACAAUGUCAAAU
This is a long non-coding RNA of Etheostoma spectabile (orangethroat darter), 102 nucleotides long. RefSeq lists it as uncharacterized. The transcript has 3 exons. The record is from RefSeq and is a predicted model, not a curated record. Lineage: Eukaryota; Metazoa; Chordata; Actinopteri; Perciformes; Percidae.